UUAAAUUAACCUUCAGAUUUCCCUAGAAUCAUUGAAUCGGAUGAAUAUGCAUCGCAAACAAAUUAUUCCUAACAAGUUCUCUAUAUGAACAGCAUGAUAAAGACACAAGUUAGAAUCAUUAUGUUCUUUGGAAAUCAUAAGCAUCGACAAGGCAUUUGUAACUAUGGAAAGCAUGAUACUCUUGCCAGGAAUCUACUUAACACGAUCGUGACUAGCGACCUUCACUACUUGCGAAUAUAAAUUCAUAACGAUUAGGUGAAACAAAUUUAUAUCCUAGCACCAAAUUCAAACAUG
This 294-nucleotide long non-coding RNA is filed under the name Malus domestica (apple). RNAcentral describes it as "long non-coding RNA (MDOM_LNC021053)". Lineage: Eukaryota; Viridiplantae; Streptophyta; Magnoliopsida; Rosales; Rosaceae. The record is from RNAcentral.